GACGAACCGUCCAAACGUUGUUCGGAAUCACUGGGCGUAAAGGGUGCGUAGGCGGGGCUUUAAGGCAGGGGUGAAAUCCUGGAGCUCAACUCCAGAACUGCCUUUGAUACUGAGGAUCUUGAGUUCGGGAGAGGUGAGUGGAACUGCGAGUGUAGAGGUGAAAUUCGUAGAUAUUCGCAAGAACACCAGUGGCGAAGGCGGCUCACUGGCCCGAUACUGACGCUGAGGCACGAAAGCGUGGGGAGCAAACAGG
This 253-nucleotide ribosomal RNA is filed under the name uncultured bacterium. RNAcentral describes it as "partial 16S ribosomal RNA". It matches the Rfam family "Bacterial small subunit ribosomal RNA", at positions 524 to 776 of the family's 1533-position model. The record is from RNAcentral.